UCGAAUCUCACAACGAGCAGACCGCGCACAUGUAUAUGCCGCACGGGGCUCCCGAUGGACAGGUGCCUGCGCGCCUCCCGUCGUCGCCCCGCACCCGCCUGACCCUCGCGCGAGCGAGCGUGCUAGGCGGGGACAACAACGAAACCACGGCGCGGAAAAGGCGCCAAGGAUCACAAACGCGGAGCGCCGCCCCCUUCGUGCACCCGUUUGCGGCGUGCCGUUCGUGGGAUGUGCGUCUCCUGAGAUUGAAUACGAAAAAAAAGAU
This 265-nucleotide unclassified non-coding RNA is filed under the name Pinguicula macrophylla. RNAcentral's name for it is "ITS1". Lineage: Eukaryota; Viridiplantae; Streptophyta; Magnoliopsida; Lamiales; Lentibulariaceae. The record is from RNAcentral.